RNAcentral lists this ribosomal RNA (380 nucleotides) under uncultured eukaryote. RNAcentral's name for it is "partial 18S ribosomal RNA". It matches the Rfam family "Eukaryotic small subunit ribosomal RNA", at positions 592 to 976 of the family's 1831-position model. The record is from RNAcentral.
CAAUAGCGUAUAUUAAAGUUGUUGCGGUAAAAAGCUCGUAGUUGGAUUUCUACCGAAGAUAGCCGGUCGGGUCUUCGACCUUGUAUCUGGUUUUGUCUUUGGUAUCCUCAUAGGGAACGUUUCUGCGCUUUAUUGCGUGGUGCGGUAUCUAUGACUUUUACUUUGAGGAAAUUAGAGUGUUCACGGCAGGCAAACGCCUUGAAUAUAUUAGCAUGGAAUAAUAACAUAGGAUCUUCGUCCUAUUUUGUUGGUUUCUAGGGCUAAGAUAAUGAUUAAUAGGGAUAAUUGGGGGCAUCUGUAUCAACGCGUCAGAGGUGGAAUUCUUGGAUUGUGUUGCGACAAACUACUGCGAAAGCAUUUGCCAAGGAUGUUUUCAUUGA